Molecule: long non-coding RNA, 436 nt
Filed under: Equus caballus (horse)
Lineage: Eukaryota; Metazoa; Chordata; Mammalia; Perissodactyla; Equidae
Description: lncRNA (ENSECAG00000052312.1)
Source: RNAcentral
AUUACACUGUAUCCUCUAGCACUGCUGGGGGGUGGGGAGGGGCUAUCUGGGUCAGAGGACGUGAAUAUUCUGGUCUCUUUUGCAGAUAAAUGCCUAAAAGAAACACCAUGCAUAGGAUAUUACACGCCAUUCUUAACUCCAUAAUAACCAAGCAAACUUAGCAUAGCAUUUUAACUUGCUAUACAGGCUUUUGCAUAGCAGAGAAUAGACACUCCAACUAGCAGACAUUAGCCCUGAGCUAACUACUGCCAGUCCCCCUCUUUUUGCUGAGGAAGCCUGGCCCUGAGCUGACACCCGUGCCCAUCUUCCUCUACUUUCUAUGUGGGAUGCCUACCACAGCAUGGCGUGCCAAGCGGCGCCAUGUCCGCACCCGGGAUCCGAACCGGCGAACCCUGGGCUGCUGAGAAGCAGAACGUCACUGUGAGCAAAAUUUGCC